Molecule: long non-coding RNA, 1656 nt
Organism: Gossypium arboreum
Lineage: Eukaryota; Viridiplantae; Streptophyta; Magnoliopsida; Malvales; Malvaceae
Exons: 2
Source: RefSeq, a predicted model, not a curated record
AAAAACUCAUGCCCAAAGCAAAACAAAUCAACUCAGGCCUAAAAUAAAACCACAAAGAAAUAAAAGGAAACUAAAAAGAAACAGACAUAAUAAUAAUUAACAUUAAUUGCCUACUCCCUUGAGAAUCGGGUUGUCCGUCACACCCAAGAUCUCCAACAACUUUUCCCAUACGGUUCCCAUUUCCCCUUAUCACAAAAUUCUUCUUCUACCUUAUUCUCUAACUCUACUAGAUCCACCAUGUUUUCUCAUGAAACUUAUCUCCUCGAGGAAGAAACCUGUUUUAUCCGUGGAUUUUCCGAAUUAGUCAGGUUCUAUAAUGAAUUCAUUGACCUAAAUCGCUUCCACGAAACUCGGUGCUACACCCAGAAGGUAAAACUCAUCAUCCCUCUUUAGGUUUUUUGUAGCUAAUCGAUAUGCUAAUUUAUUUGUAUUCCGAUAAGAGUGCUGAAACUAGAUUUUGCUAAACUUGCUCACUAACAUCUUAACAUCUUUGAUAAAUGGGCUUAUAAUUGAUCUGUCGUUAAGGACUGAUGUGCAUUUUUUUAUGACUGUGAGGGAAUCCCACUCUACAAUAACCUUUCUCAAACCUAACCCUUUGAACACUCUUACUACAUCCGAACAUGCAAGAGCCUCUACGGCAAAUGCAAAGAUGACAUUCGUAUGCAACACCAUUGUAGAGGCUAAAACCUGACCUAUUGAACUUCGGAUGACCACCCCAGAGCCAGAUCUGGAGUUUUCCUAAUCGAAGGGCGCAUCAAAAUUGGCUGUAUACACCUCUGAUGGUGGUGGAACCCAACCCUCUGCCCUUCAAAUACUGAAUUGCACAGGGUGAGAAUUGGCUUGGCAGACACUACCAGAAGCGCAAAACCAAGAAGUGAUUUUUGAGGCAUCGAGACGAAUGAAUUUUUUAGCUGAAGACGGUCCAAAUUAUGUGUAUUAGUUCAUAACAUAAUUAAUUUAAAUUUUAAUCCAAUUUAAUUUGGGUUAAAUAAAUUAUUAUUAAUUAAUUAUGAAAAGUGGCCCAGUUGAGUCGAACCGAGUGAACCGAACUGACUAAGAAGUGGAUAGCCCAAAACCAUCCAUAUGAUGACCCAAAUUAGCUUAUUGGCUAAUUAUUUAGCUUUCAAAGAGGCCCUUGAAGACUUGUUCAAGUUGCAAACAAACUCCUCUAUAAUUGGUGGCUUUAUAGAUUUGCCCCAAGCCUAAAUUAGCAAAGUUGAAACCAUCAACCUUGCCACAUGUGUGGCCAGCCAAGGGAGGGCUCUUUGGCUGAUAAUUUUAGCUAUUUUUAGCAACACUCUUCAGCUAUAAAAACCCCCUUAGGCUGGUCAUUUGAAACACAUCUCAUUCAUUCAUAUCUUUUCUCUCUUCUUUUUCAUUCCAAAUUCCCUUGCUCUCUUGCCGACUUCUCCUCUUGGAAAAGGGGCAUUCAUCAGCCAUUUGGAGCAGCAAUUAAGUGUUCAUAGCAGCCUUGUUCGACAGGACAAUGGAGAAGAAAGAACGGAGCAAACUAGUCAAGCCACGGAAAAACACCGGAUUUGAUUCUUGUUCCCUAUCUCUUUAAUUUUUGUUGUUGUUAUGAUGAACAUAUCUAUGAAUAUUUAUGUUGUUGGAAUGGUUAACUUAAUCAAUUUAGCUUGAAUUUAAUUUGUGUUA